Molecule: ribosomal RNA, 342 nt
Filed under: uncultured bacterium
Lineage: Bacteria
Description: bacterial SSU rRNA
Rfam family: Bacterial small subunit ribosomal RNA
Source: RNAcentral
AGCGAACGCUGGCGGCAGGCCUAACACAUGCAAGUCGAGCGCCCAGCAAUGGGAGCGGCAGACGGGAUAGUAACACGUGGGAACGUACCCUUCAGUUCGGAACAACCCAGGGAAACGUUAGGGCUAAUACCGAAUACGUCCGUAAGGAGAAAGAUUUAUCGCUGAAGGAUCGGCCCGCGUCUGAUUAGCUAGUUGGUGAGGUAACGGCUCACCAAGGCGACGAUCAGUAGCUGGCUGAGAGGAUGAUCAGCAUCACUGGGACUGAGACACGGCCCAGACUCCUACGGGAGGCAGCAGUGGGGAAGUAUUGGACAAUGGGCGCAAGCCUGAUCCAGCCAUGCC